UACGGAGGAUGCGAGCGUUAUCCGGGUUUAUUGGGUUUAAAGGGUGCGUAGGCGGUCCGUUAAGUCAGCGGUAAAAUUGCGGGGCCCAACCCCGUCGAGCCGUUGAAACUGGCAGACUUGAGUUGGCGAGAAGUACGCGGAAUGCGCGGUGUAGCGGUGAAAUGCAUAGAUAUCGCGCAGAACUCCGAUUGCGAAGGCAGCGUACCGGCGCCACACUGACGCUGAGGCACGAAAGCGUGGGGAUCGAACAGG
RNAcentral lists this ribosomal RNA (252 nucleotides) under uncultured bacterium. RNAcentral's name for it is "partial 16S ribosomal RNA". It matches the Rfam family "Bacterial small subunit ribosomal RNA", at positions 524 to 776 of the family's 1533-position model. The record is from RNAcentral.